RNAcentral lists this ribosomal RNA (1494 nucleotides) under uncultured bacterium. Its description in RNAcentral is "bacterial SSU rRNA". It matches the Rfam family "Bacterial small subunit ribosomal RNA". The record is from RNAcentral.
AGAGUUUGAUCAUGGCUCAGAUUGAACGCUGGCGGUAUGCUUAACACAUGCAAGUCGAACGCGAAAGACCCUUCGGGGUUGAGUAGAGUGGCGGACGGGUGAGUAACGCGUAGGGAUCUGCCUGGUAGUGGGGGACAACUUGGGGAAACUCAAGCUAAUACCGCAUACGCCCUAAGGGGGAAAGCAUGGGAUCUUCGGACCAUGUGCUAUCAGAUGAACCUGCGUCGGAUUAGCUAGUUGGUGAGGUAAUGGCUCACCAAGGCGACGAUCCGUAGCUGGUCUGAGAGGAUGAUCAGCCACACUGGGACUGAGACACGGCCCAGACUCCUACGGGAGGCAGCAGUGGGGAAUAUUGGACAAUGGGGGCAACCCUGAUCCAGCAAUACCGCGUGUGUGAAGAAGGCCUGAGGGUUGUAAAGCACUUUCAGUAGGGAGGAAGGCUGAGUAGUUAAUAACUGCUUGGAUUGACGUUACCUACAGAAGAAGCACCGGCUAACUCCGUGCCAGCAGCCGCGGUAAUACGGGGGGUGCAAGCGUUAAUCGGAAUUACUGGGCGUAAAGCGCGCGUAGGCGGUUUGUUCAGUCGGAUGUGAAAGCCCAGGGCUCAACCUUGGAACUGCAUUCGAUACUGGCAAACUAGAAUGUGAUAGAGGAUAGUGGAAUUUCCGGUGUAGCGGUGAAAUGCGCAGAGAUCGGAAGGAACAUCAGUGGCGAAGGCGGCUAUCUGGAUCAACAUUGACGCUGAGGUGCGAAAGCGUGGGUAGCAAACAGGAUUAGAUACCCUGGUAGUCCACGCCGUAAACGAUGUCAACUAGCCGUUGGGAGACUUGAUCUCUUAGUGGCGCAGCUAACGCGAUAAGUUGACCGCCUGGGGAGUACGGACGCAAGUUUAAAACUCAAAUGAAUUGACGGGGGCCCGCACAAGCGGUGGAGCAUGUGGUUUAAUUCGAUGCAACGCGAAGAACCUUACCAAUCCUUGACAUCCUCGGAAUAUACCAGAAAUGGAAUAGUGCCUUCGGGAACCGAGUGACAGGUGCUGCAUGGCUGUCGUCAGCUCGUGUUGUGAAAUGUUGGGUUAAGUCCCGUAACGAGCGCAACCCUUAUCCUUAUUUGCCAGCACGUAAUGGUGGGAACUCUAAGGAGACUGCCGGUGACAAACCGGAGGAAGGUGGGGACGACGUCAAGUCAUCAUGGCCCUUACGGAUUGGGCUACACACGUGCUACAAUGGGCAGUACAGAGGGUCGCAAACCUGCGAGGGUAAGCCAAUCUCAGAAAGCUGUUCGUAGUCCGGAUUGGAGUCUGCAACUCGACUCCAUGAAGUUGGAAUCGCUAGUAAUCGCGAAUCAGAAUGUCGCGGUGAAUACGUUCCCGGGCCUUGUACACACCGCCCGUCACACCAUGGGAGUGGGUUGCACCAGAAGUAGCUAGACUAACCUUCGGGAGGUCGGUUACCACGGUGUGAUUCAUGACUGGGGUGAAGUCGUAACAAGGUA